CCCUUAGAUGUUCUGGGCCGCACGCGCGCUACACUGACGAAGUCAGCGAGCAUCUCCUACGCCGAAAGGUGCGGGGAAUCUUGUGAAACUUUGUCGUGCUGGGGAUUGAUUUUUGAAAUUCUUGAUCAUCAACGAGGAAUUCCUAGUAAGCGCAAGUCAGCAGCUUGCGUUGAUUACGUCCCUGCCCUUUGUACACACCGCCCGUCGCUACUACCGAUUGAAUGGUUUAGUGAGAUUUUUGGACUGGAACUCUCUUGUUCAGCAAUGAACGAGAGGGAUUCUGGGAAGCUAUUCUAACUGUAUCAUUUAGAGGAAGUAAAAGUCGUAACA
This 330-nucleotide ribosomal RNA is filed under the name uncultured eukaryote. Its description in RNAcentral is "partial 18S ribosomal RNA". It matches the Rfam family "Eukaryotic small subunit ribosomal RNA", at positions 1470 to 1796 of the family's 1831-position model. The record is from RNAcentral.